GAGGGGAAGUUCAACCAACAAGAACUGCUAACUCUUGUAUCUGAGCCUAAUACCUCAGUCCCCUUA
Molecule: transfer RNA, 66 nt
Filed under: Chlamydotis macqueenii (Macqueen's bustard)
Lineage: Eukaryota; Metazoa; Chordata; Aves; Otidiformes; Otididae
Description: tRNA-Ser
Source: RNAcentral